UGGGGAAUAUUGCACAAUGGGCGCAAGCCUGAUGCAGCCAUGCCGCGUGUAUGAAGAAGGCCUUCGGGUUGUAAAGUACUUUCAGUCGGGAGGAAGGUGGUAAGGUUAAUAACCUUAUCAAUUGACGUUACCGACAGAAGAAGCACCGGCUAACUCCGUGCCAGCAGCCGCGGUAAUACGGAGGGUGCAAGCGUUAAUCGGAAUUACUGGGCGUAAAGCGCACGCAGGCGGUUGAUUGAGUCAGAUGUGAAAUCCCCGGGCUUAACCCGGGAAUUGCAUCUGAUACUGGUCAGCUAGAGUCUUGUAGAGGGGGGUAGAAUUCCAUGUGUAGCGGUGAAAUGCGUAGAGAUGUGGGGGAAUACCGGUGGCGAAGGCGGCCCCCUGGACGAAGACUGACGCUCAGGUGCGAAAGCGUGGGGAGCAAACAGG
RNAcentral lists this ribosomal RNA (429 nucleotides) under Chloroflexota bacterium. Its description in RNAcentral is "Chloroflexi bacterium partial 16S ribosomal RNA". It matches the Rfam family "Bacterial small subunit ribosomal RNA", at positions 355 to 776 of the family's 1533-position model. The record is from RNAcentral. Lineage: Bacteria; Bacillati; Chloroflexota.